GAGUUUGAUCCUGGCUCAGAUUGAACGCUGGCGGCAUGCCUUACACAUGCAAGUCGAACGGCAGCACGGGGGCGACCCUGGUGGCGAGUGGCGGACGGGUGAGUAAAGCAUCGGAACGUGCCCUGGAAUGGGGGAUAACGUAGCGAAAGUUACGCUAAUACCGCAUAUUCUGUGAGCAGGAAAGCAGGGGAUCGCAAGACCUUGCGUUCUGGGAUCGGCCGAUGUCGGAUUAGCUAGUUGGUGGGGUAAAGGCCUACCAAGGCGACGAUCCGUAGCGGGUCUGAGAGGAUGAUCCGCCACACUGGGACUGAGACACGGCCCAGACUCCUACGGGAGGCAGCAGUGGGGAAUUUUGGACAAUGGGCGCAAGCCUGAUCCAGCCAUGCCGCGUGAGUGAAGAAGGCCUUCGGGUUGUAAAGCUCUUUCGGUGGGGAAGAAAUUGCAUGGGUUAAUACCCUGUGUAGAUGACGGUACCUGGAGAAGAAGCACCGGCUAACUACGUGCCAGCAGCCGCGGUAAUCCC
Molecule: ribosomal RNA, 523 nt
Filed under: uncultured bacterium
Lineage: Bacteria
Description: bacterial SSU rRNA
Rfam family: Bacterial small subunit ribosomal RNA
Source: RNAcentral